This 253-nucleotide ribosomal RNA is filed under the name uncultured bacterium. RNAcentral describes it as "partial 16S ribosomal RNA". It matches the Rfam family "Bacterial small subunit ribosomal RNA", at positions 524 to 776 of the family's 1533-position model. The record is from RNAcentral.
UACGUAGGGGGCAAGCGUUGUCCGGAUUUAUUGGGCGUAAAGAGCUCGUAGGCGGUUUGUCGCGUCUGCUGUGAAAACUCGGGGCUUAACUCCGGGCCUGCAGUGGGUACGGGCAGACUAGAGUGCGGUAGGGGAGAGUGGAAUUCCUGGUGUAGCGGUGAAAUGCGCAGAUAUCAGGAAGAACACCAGUGGCUAAGGCGGCUCUCUAGUACGGUACUGACGCUGAGACGCGAAAGCGUGGGGAGCAAACAGG